GGGUAUUUGGCCGAGUCUGGUUUAUGGCACUCGUCUUGAAAACGAGAACUUCUACUGAAGUCGUGAGUUCAAAUCUCACAGUGCCCG
RNAcentral lists this transfer RNA (87 nucleotides) under Fomitopsis pinicola. RNAcentral's name for it is "tRNA-Ser". It matches the Rfam family "tRNA". From Rfam's summary of the family: Transfer RNA (tRNA) molecules are approximately 80 nucleotides in length. Their secondary structure includes four short double-helical elements and three loops (D, anti-codon, and T loops). The record is from RNAcentral. Lineage: Eukaryota; Fungi; Basidiomycota; Agaricomycetes; Polyporales; Fomitopsidaceae. RNAcentral also lists the same sequence under 1 other name.